RNAcentral lists this ribosomal RNA (440 nucleotides) under uncultured bacterium. Its description in RNAcentral is "partial 16S ribosomal RNA". It matches the Rfam family "Bacterial small subunit ribosomal RNA", at positions 338 to 795 of the family's 1533-position model. The record is from RNAcentral.
CCUACGGGAGGCAGCAGUGGGGAAUAUUGCACAAUGGGGGAAACCCUGAUGCAGCGACGCCGCGUGAGUGAAGAAGUAAUUCGUUAUGUAAAGCUCUAUCAGCAGGGAAGAAAAUGACGGUACCUGAGUAAGAAGUCCCGGCUAACUACGUGCCAGCAGCCGCGGUAAUACGUAGGGGGCAAGCGUUAUCCGGAUUUACUGGGUGGAAAGGGAGCGUAGACGGCAGUGCAAGUCUGGAGUGAAAGGCGGGGGCUCAACCCCCGGACUGCUCUGGAAACUGUACGGCUGGAGUGCAGGAGAGGUAAGUGGAAUUCCUGGUGUAGCGGUGAAAUGCGUAGAUAUUAGGAGGAACACCAGGGGCGAAGGCGGCUUACUGGACUGUAACUGACGUUGAGGCUCGAAAGCGUGGGGAGCAAACAGGAUUAGAUACCCGAGUAGUC